CCUACGAGUGGCAGCAGUGAGGAAUAUUGGUCAAUGGGCGCUAGCCUGAACCAGCCAAGUAGCGUGAAGGAUGACUGCCCUACGGGUUUUAAACUUCUUUUAUCAAGGAAUAAAGUGAGGCACGUGUGCCUUUUUGUAUGUACUUUAUGAAUAAGGAUCGGCUAACUCCGUGCCAGCAGCCGCGGUAAUACGGAGGAUCCGAGCGUUAUCCGGCUUUAUUGGGUUUAAAGGGUGCGUAGGCGGACUGUUACGUUAGCGGUAAAAGCCCGGGGCUAAACCCCGGAGAGCCGUUGAAACUGGCUGUCUUGAGAUGUCGAGAGGUAUGCGGAAUGCGCAGUGUAGCGGUGAAAUGCUUAGAGAUUGCGAAGAACUCCGAUUGCGAAGGCAGCAUACCGGCGGCGAUCUGACGCUGAGGCACGAAAGCGUGGGUAUCGAACAGGAUUAGAUACCCCAGUAGUC
RNAcentral lists this ribosomal RNA (459 nucleotides) under uncultured bacterium. Its description in RNAcentral is "partial 16S ribosomal RNA". It matches the Rfam family "Bacterial small subunit ribosomal RNA", at positions 338 to 795 of the family's 1533-position model. The record is from RNAcentral.